RNAcentral lists this ribosomal RNA (440 nucleotides) under uncultured bacterium. Its description in RNAcentral is "partial 16S ribosomal RNA". It matches the Rfam family "Bacterial small subunit ribosomal RNA", at positions 338 to 795 of the family's 1533-position model. The record is from RNAcentral.
CCUACGGGAGGCAGCAGUGGGGAAUAUUGCUCAAUGGGGGAAACCCUGAUGCAGCGACGCCGCGUGAGGGAAGACGUAUUUCGGUAUGUAAAGCCCUAUCAGUAGGGAAGAAAAUGACGGUACCUGAUUAAGAAGCCCCGGCUAACUACGUGCCAACAGCCGCGGUAAUACGUAGGGGGCAAGCGUUAUCCGGAUUUACUGGGCGUAAAGGGAGGGUAGGCGGUGAUGCAAGUCAGAAGGUAAAGCCUGGGGCUCAACCCCGGGACUGCUUUUGAAACUGUUUGUCUGGAGUGCAGGAGAGGUAAGCGGAAUGCCUGGUGUAGCGGUGAAAUGCGUAGAUAUCAGGAGGAACACCGAUGGCGAAGGCGGCUUACUGGACUUUAACUGACGUUGAGGCUCGAAAGCGUGGGGAGCAAACAGGAUUAGAUACCCGGGUAGUC